GAUGAAGAACGCAGCGAAAUGCGAUACGUAAUGUGAAUUGCAGAAUUCAGUGAAUCAUCGAAUCUUUGAACGCAUAUUGCGCUCUCUGGUAUUCCGGAGAGCAUGCUUGUUUGAGUAUCAGUAAACACCUCAACUUCCAUAUCUUUUUUGAAAUGGGAGUUGGACUUGAGUGAUCCCAACGCUUUUCCUCACCGAAAAGUGGCGGGUUACGUGAAAUGCAGGUGCAGCUGGACUUUUCUCUGAGCUAUAAGCAUAUCUAUUUAGUCUGCCUAAAAAACAGAUUAUUACCUUUGCUGCAGCUAACAUAAAGGAGAUUAGUUCUUGUGCUGACUGAUGCAGGAUUCACAAAGACGGCUUCGGCCGACUUUGUAAACUCGAUCUCAAAUCAAGUAAGACUACCCGCUGAACUUAAGCAUAUCAAUAAGCGGAGGA
Molecule: unclassified non-coding RNA, 432 nt
Filed under: soil metagenome
Description: partial contains 5.8S ribosomal RNA, internal transcribed spacer 2, and large subunit ribosomal RNA
Rfam family: 5.8S ribosomal RNA (bases 1-120)
Source: RNAcentral